RNAcentral lists this long non-coding RNA (356 nucleotides) under Bos taurus (domestic cattle). Its description in RNAcentral is "long non-coding RNA NONBTAT017861". The record is from RNAcentral. Lineage: Eukaryota; Metazoa; Chordata; Mammalia; Artiodactyla; Bovidae.
AAGAGAUGAAUGGCCGACAGCACAGGGAGGGCCUAGAAUUUUAAUAUUUGAGAAAAUAAACCUAGAUCAAAUAUCUUGUUUCUCUUUUUAGCAAGAAACCUGCCCUCCAUGAUACAGUCUUUCUGAUUUUCAUUUCCCCCAGAUAUCUUAUCUCUGAGAGAAUGAACAAAUAUAAUCACCCUUCAUAAGUAAUGACCCACAUCUUUUUCAGAUGGGAUGUGAAGAUAUACCUCCCCUUAUAUAUCCCUCUGAUUUUGUAUCCUUCAAGUACUAUUUCCUCAUAACUUACAAUUCAUAAAUCCACCUGUUUUUAUGUAGGCACCUACUGUGCAGAGCUUGAGGAAGGCACAGCACUA